UCUCCCCCUCCCAACCACCCUCCAAAGAGCAAAAGCCCAUUUGGGAGGAAGUAGGGAUAAAAAGAGGCUUCCACUCUUUGGGGGAAAGGUCAGGAUUAAGGUGAAAAAUCAGAACGGAGAUUGGUGGAAGGCAGCUUUAACCACCACCAGCAGUUCCCACCCACCCUCUGGAAGCAGCAGUUCAAACUUAAGAAAUGCACAAGCUGGCACAAAGCAUCGAGAUGCCAAGAGCACUUGGGGACACUGGUCUCCUUCCCAGCCUUGUGCCCUGGAUUCUGUCCUCUGCCCAGUAUGUACAGGCAAUACUUUAUGUCUAGUGGUCUUCUUCCUGUUGGGGUCAUCUGUACUCACACUCUGUGACCCCCCAGCACUGUUCAGUAGGAGGGUCCAAGAAGAUCUAAGAUGGCAGAUACGUUCAUAGCCCUCAGGCUGUGUCUGUGUCUAUAUCCAGGGCACCAAGGUUGCCAUCCACAAAAGUUUCAAAGCUAAAGUUAAUGUAUGGGGGAGGAUACUUUCCCUCAGGACAAAGGGACUUUCUCUCCCAUAUUUGCCUUUGUGUAAUUUUUUUAAAUCCCUGGUUUAAAAAAAAAAAAAUCCCUAAAGAUGGAGGGAGAAGAAGUAAAGACUACCACUGAGAUUAUAUUCGGUUUAUGGUCCCUAGAGGGGGGAAAUAAUGUAUUCUAUUGUGAGGAGACUAUGAUAGGCCCAACUUUACAAUGUUGUAAUUUACUGGAGGGAGGAGACACAAAACUCAGAGCCACAAGCAAUUUGGUGGGAAACUAGGCCUCAGAGCUGAAAACGAAAAGUCGAUCUGGGGGAAGAUUUUUAAAUAAGUGGGUCAGAGGGACCAAGAGGAGAUGAGGCGAUCAAUCUUAGCCCCCUGACAGCUCCCUCCGAUUGCAUCAAAGAAUUUGGCUCUUUGGGAAAGCAGAGGGAACAGCCUAAAUUCCACAUCCCUUAAAAAGGCCUGAGGGAGGGGCAGCAGAAGAGAAAGGUGAUUCUGGGAGGGCCAGGAAACAGAUGGGAAAUGGAGACAGAGGGAAGGCGCUAACUUGGGUGGAAAGUUUGCCCCGGAGAACUCCCACGGCUCUGGAGAGAAUUCCCCUCCCCCUCUUCGCUCUCCGCCGCCCAGCCUGGAGGAGAAGGCUGGUUAGCAGAGAAAUGGCAAGUCAGCGGAGAGCUGGAACUAGAAACUUUCUGUCAAUGUAACCUCCGCGUGGGUGGUGACCCAAUGGUGGUUGGGCUUCGGGUCACGUGACAGCCUCCUUGUAGCUCCGGAAGAGAACCGUGAAGUUUAGGUUGCCUGGAAGAAGCAGAGAAUGAAAGGGAGGAAAAAAAAAUCAAGAUUUGGGGGAAUUGCCCACAGAGAUGGAAGUACUGGAGCCCUGGGACUGAUGUGGUCGCCUCCAAUCUGCUGUGGGUUCCUUUCCAAGGGUGUGGGCGGGCAGAUGGAACCAGGCAUGGAGGACUCAGGCCAGUGAGAGGGGAAGGCGCCCCAGGCCUGUCUUGUUUCUGGAAGCCUGCAACCACCCCCCAACACGCACCUCUUCCAGGCCACCAGACUGCCCCCACCAGCAGCUCCACCACCUCCCUGGCCCUUGAUCUCGCCCCCCACCCCCCACCCGCCCCUCACAUCACAGGUGUGUCAAUUUGGGCGCUUCUUGGAUUCUACCCUGAGGUGGUGCGUGGUGAGAGGAGAGGUCUGUGUAAGUGGGGUGAGGAUCACAGGGUCCGUGAUGCUGGCUGGGGGCCAUAGGGGGCGCCCCGUUGUAGUCCAGGUUCCCCGAGGGGUGGUGGGAAAGGUGAUUGAGGCCGUAGAGGGAGGGGCCGGCAGGGGGCGGCAGCGGAUCCGCAUAGCCACCCCCGCCCACGUACACCGGGCUGCCCUGCAUGGUGGGCGUCCCGUAGGCGCCCCCGUUGGCUUGGAGGACGUGGGGCUCGUACUCGGGCGCCGGGGUCGGGGGGUACUUCUGCGGGGCGCCGCAACCUUUAAGGGGGGGCUGGUAGUUGGAGGGCAGCGCGUAGGCAUUCUGGUGGCCUUUGCCGAAGGCUGGCGGGGACGGGCUGUCAUAGCUGGGAGUCAUGGAGUGUAAGGCGUUCAUGAAGCCGGCGGUGGACUGCAUGGGCUGUGGGGGGCUGCCGGCCGGAGAGGGACCCCCAGACGACGAGGCCAGCCCCUUGGCCUUCUGGUCUUUCUUGUAUUUCAUGCGGCGGUUCUGGAACCAGAUCUUGAUCUGGCGCUCGCUGAGGUUCAGCAGAUUGGCCAUCUCCACGCGGCGCGGCCGGCACAAGUAGCGGUUGAAGUGGAACUCUUUCUCCAGCUCAACGAGCUGCGCGCUUGUGUACGCCGUCCGUGCCCGCUUGGACGCCGCCGACCCCGGGGGGCUCUUGUCCCCUCCCCCGCCGCCACUGCCGCCCCCGCCGCUGCUCCCGCCGCCGCUGCCGCCGCCGCCGCCGCCGCCGCCACAACCUUCUGCUGGACCCGAGGGGGAGGAGUGGGAAGGGGAGAAAAUGAAAUAAAAGAUAAUUACUGAA
Peromyscus leucopus (white-footed mouse) is the source of this 2535-nucleotide long non-coding RNA. RefSeq lists it as uncharacterized. The record is from RefSeq and is a predicted model, not a curated record. Lineage: Eukaryota; Metazoa; Chordata; Mammalia; Rodentia; Cricetidae. The transcript is spliced from 4 exons.